GGGGAUGUUCUGGUUUCGACAGGAGUGAACAACUAAUUGUGGCAGUGGUUUGGUAGACCAUAAUACUACGAGGUUUCAUAACCGGAAAACAAACUAAAACCGUAGUACCUAACUGAUUCACAACAAAGUUAAACAACUUUGGAUUUGGUUUAGGAAAUCAAGCAGUUUUACCUGCUUAAUUACUUAAGAAGUAAAUACUACCGUUACUAAUAGCAAGUUUAUCAUUAUUAGUAACGUAUCAUAGGAUAAACUAGAAAAAAUGAUGUUAAUAAAUUUUUUCGAAUUUCCAUUAACUAGCUAUUCAUAAUUUUGUAUAAUUUAUUAUUAAAUAGUGAUUUUUCUAAAUUAUACUAAACUGUAGAUACAGUUAGUCAGUUAACUUUUGGACGCGGGUUCGAUCCCCGCCAUCUCCACCA
This 416-nucleotide transfer-messenger RNA is filed under the name Mycoplasmatales. RNAcentral describes it as "Spiroplasma_D ixodetis Standard tmRNA". It matches the Rfam family "transfer-messenger RNA". Rfam says of the family: Bacterial tmRNA, also known as 10Sa RNA or SsrA, is named for its dual tRNA and mRNA-like properties. Its role is to liberate the mRNA from a stalled ribosome. RNAcentral also lists the same sequence under 1 other name. The record is from RNAcentral. Lineage: Bacteria; Bacillati; Mycoplasmatota; Mollicutes.